This 1433-nucleotide ribosomal RNA is filed under the name uncultured organism. RNAcentral's name for it is "16S ribosomal RNA". It matches the Rfam family "Bacterial small subunit ribosomal RNA". The record is from RNAcentral.
CAGGCUUAACACAUGCAAGUCGAGGGGCAGCAUUUCAGUUUGCUUGCAAACUGGAGAUGGCGACCGGCGCACGGGUGAGUAACACGUAUCCAACCUGCCGAUAACUCGGGGAUAGCCUUUCGAAAGAAAGAUUAAUACCCGAUGGUAUAAUCAGACCGCAUGGUCUUGUUAUUAAAGAAUUUCGGUUAUCGAUGGGGAUGCGUUCCAUUAGGCAGUUGGUGAGGUAACGGCUCACCAAACCUUCGAUGGAUAGGGGUUCUGAGAGGAAGGUCCCCCACAUUGGAACUGAGACACGGUCCAAACUCCUACGGGAGGCAGCAGUGAGGAAUAUUGGUCAAUGGGCGCAGGCCUGAACCAGCCAAGUAGCGUGAAGGAUGACUGCCCUAUGGGUUGUAAACUUCUUUUAUAUGGGAAUAAAGUUUUCCACGUGUGGAAUUUUGUAUGUACCAUAUGAAUAAGGAUCGGCUAACUCCGUGCCAGCAGCCGCGGUAAUACGGAGGAUCCGAGCGUUAUCCGGAUUUAUUGGGUUUAAAGGGAGCGUAGGUGGACAGUUAAGUCAGUUGUGAAAGUUUGCGGCUCAACCGUAAAAUUGCAGUUGAUACUGGCUGUCUUGAGUACAGUAGAGGUGGGCGGAAUUCGUGGUGUAGCGGUGAAAUGCUUAGAUAUCACGAAGAACUCCGAUUGCGAAGGCAGCUCACUGGACUGCAACUGACACUGAUGCUCGAAAGUGUGGGUAUCAAACAGGAUUAGAUACCCUGGUAGUCCACACAGUAAACGAUGAAUACUCGCUGUUUGCGAUAUACAGUAAGCGGCCAAGCGAAAGCAUUAAGUAUUCCACCUGGGGAGUACGCCGGCAACGGUGAAACUCAAAGGAAUUGACGGGGGCCCGCACAAGCGGAGGAACAUGUGGUUUAAUUCGAUGAUACGCGAGGAACCUUACCCGGGCUUAAAUUGCAUUUGAAUAUAUUGGAAACAGUAUAGCCGUAAGGCAAAUGUGAAGGUGCUGCAUGGUUGUCGUCAGCUCGUGCCGUGAGGUGUCGGCCUAAGUGCCAUAACGAGCGCAACCCUUAUCUUUAGUUACUAACAGGUCAUGCUGAGGACUCUAGAGAGACUGCCGUCGUAAGAUGUGAGGAAGGUGGGGAUGACGUCAAAUCAGCACGGCCCUUACGUCCGGGGCUACACACGUGUUACAAUGGGGGGUACAGAAGGCAGCUACCUGGUGACAGGAUGCUAAUCCCAAAAGCCUCUCCCAGUUCGGAUCGAAGUCUGCAACCCGACUUCGUGAAGCUGGAUUCGCUAGUAAUCGCGCAUCAGCCAUGGCGCGGUGAAUACGUUCCCGGGCCUUGUACACACCGCCCGUCAAGCCAUGAAAGCCGGGGGUACCUGAAGUACGUAACCGCAAGGAGCGUCCUAGGGUAAAACUGGUAAUUGGG